RNAcentral lists this ribosomal RNA (374 nucleotides) under Escherichia coli IS29. Its description in RNAcentral is "SSU rRNA". It matches the Rfam family "Bacterial small subunit ribosomal RNA", at positions 1 to 371 of the family's 1533-position model. The record is from RNAcentral. Lineage: Bacteria; Pseudomonadati; Pseudomonadota; Gammaproteobacteria; Enterobacterales; Enterobacteriaceae.
AAAUUGAAGAGUUUGAUCAUGGCUCAGAUUGAACGCUGGCGGCAGGCCUAACACAUGCAAGUCGAACGGUAACAGGAAGCAGCUUGCUGCUUUGCUGACGAGUGGCGGACGGGUGAGUAAUGUCUGGGAAACUGCCUGAUGGAGGGGGAUAACUACUGGAAACGGUAGCUAAUACCGCAUAACGUCGCAAGACCAAAGAGGGGGACCUUCGGGCCUCUUGCCAUCGGAUGUGCCCAGAUGGGAUUAGCUAGUAGGUGGGGUAACGGCUCACCUAGGCGACGAUCCCUAGCUGGUCUGAGAGGAUGACCAGCCACACUGGAACUGAGACACGGUCCAGACUCCUACGGGAGGCAGCAGUGGGGAAUAUUGCACAA